CAGAAUCGUCAACACGAGUUGUUGCUGGUCUCCAAACGGAGGCACGUGCACGCUCUGUUUACACAUCCACUCACACCUGUGCACGCUCUGCGGUUCUAUGGUUCCGGGGGAGACCUCGUCUCCUUUCCAUAGUUCUGCAACUUUACACACACACACACCGUAAUCUAGUCUCAUGGAAUGCAUACCGCGUUUAACGCAAUAAAGUA
This 206-nucleotide unclassified non-coding RNA is filed under the name uncultured Thelephoraceae. RNAcentral describes it as "sequence contains ITS1". The record is from RNAcentral. Lineage: Eukaryota; Fungi; Basidiomycota; Agaricomycetes; Thelephorales; Thelephoraceae.